Nanorana parkeri is the source of this 145-nucleotide long non-coding RNA. RefSeq lists it as uncharacterized. The transcript is spliced from 3 exons. The record is from RefSeq and is a predicted model, not a curated record. Lineage: Eukaryota; Metazoa; Chordata; Amphibia; Anura; Dicroglossidae.
CAUGCUGAAGCAUAUAUGAUAUUUUUUGUUUUAUGACUUUAGUGAUGCUUCAAAAAUAUAUGAAUGUCCAUAGCCUGACUACAGUUCUAAAUUUCCAGUACAACUCACAAGAUUUGCUUGUAUGUAUAUUAUUUGUAUUUAAUUA